This 354-nucleotide long non-coding RNA is filed under the name Trifolium pratense (red clover). RNAcentral's name for it is "long non-coding RNA (TPRA_LNC005551)". Lineage: Eukaryota; Viridiplantae; Streptophyta; Magnoliopsida; Fabales; Fabaceae. The record is from RNAcentral.
GUGGCUAGACCCAUUUCGACCCUUUUUUCACUUCGGUUUCUCCGGUUGUGGGUUAGUCGGUUUACGGGUUUCGCGGUUCGGGUUUUUCGGGUUUCAAGUCUCACUAAUAAAUCUAAACUGGGUUUGAGAAAGAAAAAAAAAACGAUGGCAACCUUCAUACAUAUCCAGAUCUAAACGAAUUUGUGAUGCAUAGUUUGACCUCUCACAGAUCUGAACAACGAAAGGUGAAUAUUAAUGAAUAUCUGCAGUUGCAUGUUUUUUUUAUUAUGUCGUAAAAGUGUUUUCAUAAACAAACAAAAAUAAAAUGAAUGAAGAUGAGAAGAAAGAAUUUGUGUUGUGGUUUGUUAGAGCAAA